This 780-nucleotide ribosomal RNA is filed under the name Metorchis bilis. Its description in RNAcentral is "12S ribosomal RNA". The record is from RNAcentral. Lineage: Eukaryota; Metazoa; Platyhelminthes; Trematoda; Opisthorchiida; Opisthorchiidae.
GGAGUAAUUUAAUUUUGGUUACAGGAGGGUUUUACGGGUAUGCCACAUAGUGCGAUUUUAUAUUAUUUUUUUGUCUGGUUAAUAAUGGCGUUGGUAAGACUAGUGGCUGGAUUUUGCUUACUGAGUGAAAGCUUGAGCGAGUUCCCGUAUGGAGUAGGGUGGUUAAUUCACAGUGCCAGCAGCUGCGGUUAUUCUGUUAGCCUUUCCUUCGUGUCGGUUUAAAUGGUUUGUGAGUGAUUUUGAAAUUAAGGGAGUAGAAUCUUUGUUUUCUCUUUUUAUUUUCUCACAUAUUCUUUGGAGGGCUAUUGGAAGAAUAGGAUUAGAGACCCUAGUAUUGAGUCUUAUUUAUUUUGUGGCUUCGUAGUGUAAACUAAAAAAAUUUGGCAGCCGACGAUCCUCCCCCGGGGGAGCGCGUGGCGUAAUAGAUGGUCCGCUUAUAUCUUUACCACUCUUAGAAUGGGUUAGUGUACGUCCGGUUUAAUACCUCUGAUUAUUGUCUUUAGGUGAAUUUCAGUUAAUUUAGGCCAGGUCAAUGUGCUGCUAAUAGGGUGGUGUCUGUUCGCUACUUUAAUAAAAGGCACACGGGUGAAGAUUUUGUGCGUAUUUAGGACUCGGGAGUAGGUGUGUUUAUUUGGAGAGAUACAUCGAAUUUUGAUUUAGUCGGGGUACACACCGCCCGUCAACCAGGAUGAUUAGUUUUGGUAAGUCGUAACAUGGUAAUGCUGGGGGAACCGGGCGUUAGUUGAUGGGGGGGUUUAUUUUCUUCGUUAUGCAAGUCCG